This 447-nucleotide ribosomal RNA is filed under the name uncultured bacterium. RNAcentral's name for it is "bacterial SSU rRNA". It matches the Rfam family "Bacterial small subunit ribosomal RNA", at positions 29 to 521 of the family's 1533-position model. The record is from RNAcentral.
AACGAACGCUGGCGGCAGGCCUAACACAUGCAAGUCGAACGCCGUAGCAAUACGGAGUGGCAGACGGGUGAGUAACACGUGGGAACAUACCCUUCGGUUCGGAAUAACUCAGGGAAACUUGAGCUAAUACCGGAUACGUCCGCGAGGAGAAAGAUUCAUCGCCGGAGGAUUGGCCCGCGUCUGAUUAGCUUGUUGGUGAGGUAACGGCUCACCAAGGCGACGAUCAGUAGCUGGUCUGAGAGGAUGAUCAGCCACAUUGGGACUGAGACACGGCCCAAACUCCUACGGGAGGCAGCAGUGGGGAAUAUUGGACAAUGGGCGCAAGCCUGAUCCAGCCAUGCCGCGUGAGUGAUGAAGGCCCUAGGGUUGUAAAGCUCUUUUACCCGGGAAGAUAAUGACUGUACCGGGAGAAUAAGCCCCGGCUAACUUCGUGCCAGCAGCCGCCGC